AAGGCUUAAAAAGCAAACUGCUAAUUUGCAUCAUAGAUAAAUCUAUGCCUUU
Molecule: transfer RNA, 52 nt
Filed under: Demodex brevis
Lineage: Eukaryota; Metazoa; Arthropoda; Arachnida; Trombidiformes; Demodicidae
Description: tRNA-Ser
Source: RNAcentral